RNAcentral lists this long non-coding RNA (1277 nucleotides) under Ricinus communis (castor bean). RNAcentral's name for it is "long non-coding RNA (RCOM_LNC001729)". The record is from RNAcentral. Lineage: Eukaryota; Viridiplantae; Streptophyta; Magnoliopsida; Malpighiales; Euphorbiaceae.
UGAAUUCAAUUUGAAUCUAAUACUGAAUAAUACAAUUAAAAUUAAAAUUCAUUCCAAAUUCACUUAUUAUUAUCGAAUUCUUUUUAUUAAAAUUUUAUCGGGUUAGAUACCCGAAAAUACGGUCCGACGCCGUUCCCAGCUUUUAUCUCUUUCUCCGCGGUCCUAAUCUCUAUGUCAAUAAUGGUUUGCAGAGGCAGAAACAAUAAUGAUUCUGGUGAUGUCCCAUUCUUUUUCUUGUUCUGAUGCAACUAUUUCCACCAUUGCAUGUGGAAUAUUCCAGCUGGAACCUAUUUUACAAAAAGGAAAUAGAAAUUAAUCUGCUAUAUUGUCAGUUUGUUUAGUUAUUAAUCGAUAAAGCCAAAAAAAAAAAAAAUUGAAAUUGACUAAAAUCGAUCGCGAAGUCAAAAAAAUGUCAUCCACUUUCUAUAAUUAAGUUUACCUUUAUGGUUAACCUCAUCAUAUACGUAAAACCUGAUUCACCGACCAAAUUGUGUCUUGCUUCUAUCUGAACACUGAGAGUCUUUGGAUCUGAGAGCCUAUAAUUAAGAUGUGAAUUCAAAUUCCUGCAACUGCUCUUUCUUUAAUUACUACUCUUCAGUAAUUUUGCUGCUGAAUAUUGUCUUUAAAUGUACUCUUAUGGGUUUAAAGGACAUUCAGAAAAGUGAUGGCAAACUGCAUGAUUUGUUCCUUAUUUAAGAGGCAAACUUCAAAUGAGUGCCUGAAGAAGAAAGCAACCAGCUCGUUGUUGAGACGGUGAAAGUAGGCAUAUAAUCGAGGGGGAGCCAAAUCAAAAGUAGCUUAGGCCAUUUUGGUGGAGGUGACCCGGCAUGAAGCCCAAUAUCACGCCUCAAAGACCCAAUUGGAAAUAAAGAUGAUGAAGCCCAAUUGAUGCAAAAGUCCAACAAGCCUAGUAUUGAAGUCCAAUCAAGUGAAGUCCAUGGAUCCAAAAAUUCAAGGAAAAUUUUCACAAAUACGGAAAAUUGUGCAUAUUAUAAAAAAUACUCUCACAAAAUUUAUUAAUAAAAGAUCGAAAUCUUUCAAAAUAAUAUAAACUAUAAUUGAAAUUUUUAAAAAUAAUAUAGAAAAUACUUGAUUUUUUUGAAAUAAAGCAUAAAAUCUAAAAAACAAAGAAUAAAUCAAUACAGAUCCACUUGAUCAAAUAAAAAAUAAAUAAAUUGAUGAAACUUUAUUUUCCGAAUCGAUUUUAAAGCCAAAAUCUAUAACUAUAUUCAAAAAAAUCAGAAAAAAAAUUAGUUUCGAAUCUUUAAAAUAAAAUU